This is a long non-coding RNA of Macaca mulatta (Rhesus monkey), 2001 nucleotides long. The record is from Ensembl. Lineage: Eukaryota; Metazoa; Chordata; Mammalia; Primates; Cercopithecidae.
GGGAGUCGAGAGAGUCGGCGGUGCACGCUCCACAUUUCCACUUCCCUAGUCAAUGCCGGCAGUCUCGCGGGAUUUCCUCCUGUCGCGGGAGUUAUUUGAAUGCCUGCGCGGUAACGACUCCUUAGGGGCCUGGGGCCCUCUGACAAGAAGCCUGAGGAGACGCCGCGGAGAGCUCUGCCUCUGGAUUGGUGGGCAGGUUGGCUGUAGCUGAACGCCGACAGGGCUUGUCCGGACAGAGUCCCAGAGCCAUGGGAGCGUAAAGAGACUGCUGCGGAUUAAGGAGGCCUUUCGGCUGGCGCAGCAGCCGCACCACAACCAGGCGAAGCUGGUGGUGGCGCUGAAUCGCUCCUGCGGCGGGGUAAGCGCUCCCGGCCCGCGCCCACCCCAUCCCGGAGCUGGCGGGGCCAGGACGCUGGUUCCUACACUCCAAGGGGUAACUGUCAGAUUCUGAAAAGAAUUAAAGAGUUGCUGGAUCCAAGAGGAAAUGUGUUUGCAAAUAUGAUAGAUAUUUACAAUUGCCCUUCAUGGAGUGAUCCGUUCCUGAUCGGCAGAGAAGAGCAUGAGAGUACUGUGGUAAACAGCAAUGAAGUUUUUGAUGUGCCAAAUUCUGAAUGAGGUCUCACUCUGUUGCCCAGGGUGCAGUACAGUAGUGCAAUCUUGGCUCACUGCAGCCUCAACCUUCUGGGCUCUGGUGAUCCCCCACCUCAGCCUCCCAAGUAGCUGGGACUACAGAAGUUUACCGUAAAACAACUUCAGGCAGAUCCUUCAAAGUAUUACAGAUGAAGGCAUUGUUGUCAUAGAUGACAGCUUUGUGCAUGUUACUGCCCUUGAAGACCUUCCCAUGGGACAAAAUCUGGAAGUGGAAGACAGUGAUAUUGUUGAUUGUGACCCUGUCGAUGGAGUUUUGCUCUUGUUGCCCACGCUGGAGUGCAAUGGCAUGAUCUCGACUUACCGCAACCUCCAGCUCCCGAGUUCAAGUGAUUCUCCUGCUACAACCUCCCGAGUAGCUGGGAUUACAGGCGCCCGCCACCACGCCUGGCUAAUUUUGUAUUUUUAGUAGAGAUGGGGUUUCUCCAUGUUGGUCAGGCUAGUCUCGAACUCUCGACCUCAGGCGAUCUGCCCACCUUGGCCUCCCAAAGUGCUGGGAUUAUAGGUGUGAUAAAUUGACCAUCUUAUACCAGGAAAUCAAAUGAGAAGACAUCAGUAAAAAUAUUCUGGCCAACUCAUGUUUUAUUUAUCAUAUCCUCUUCAUUAAUUGCUUCUCAUAAUGCCACAGUUUGUCAUGGUAUUUGUGGCAGCAGGCAAAGUCCUUGCUUAGACUUUGAUUAAAUUACUGUGGCAUUUUUCUAUUAAAAAGAUAUCGUGGUUUCAAUCUAUAAUUUGCCUGUGAUCUGCGGGUUAAAAAAAAGAGCACUAUACUAUUCCAUUUGAUUCAGUGUUUUCAGAUAAUACAUCAUUUUGCUUAGUCUCAUUUGGAUGAAAUGAAUAUUUCCAGAUCUACAUGUCAAAUAAGAGGAUACUACAACUUAGUAUGUAACUCCUAAAAAAUAGAAAUUAUUUAAUAUGAGUUAAACUUCAAUUUUAACAGAUGUUGAGUGCCUAUAUCAUAUGCCAAGCAUUGGACUAGGUACUUGUACAUGUUUUCUCAUGGACUGCCAUCAAGGUUAAAGAGGUUGCCCAUGAUCAUGUGACUGUUUAGUGAAAGAGCCAAGAACCUAAGUACUACGACAUGUAUCCAGGUGCCCUUUGCACUGUCCCAUGUUUCAAAUCAUUAAAGGUGGGAUGCGAUUUUCAAGAUUAUUUAAUAGCUGUAAUUUGUAAUGGGUACAAAUAUGGUUUAUAAUGUUAACAUUAAACUAGAAACUAUGCAACAUUUAGUAAUUUUUAAAUUAUGAUUAUUUUGAUUGAUAAUUUAUAAUUGUAUACAUUUAUAAGAUACAAUGUGAUGUUUUGAUAUAUGUCUACAAUGUGGAAUGAUUACAUCAAGCUAAUUAACACAUC